Molecule: ribosomal RNA, 329 nt
Filed under: uncultured eukaryote
Lineage: Eukaryota
Description: partial 18S ribosomal RNA
Rfam family: Eukaryotic small subunit ribosomal RNA
Source: RNAcentral
CCCUUAGAUGUCCUGGGCCGCACGCGCGCUACACUGAGUGUCUGAGAUACGAGUCUGCCUGGUCCGGCAAGGUCUAGGUAAUCGCUAAAAGACACAUCAUGCUUGGGAUAGAUUAUUGCAAAUAUUAAUCUUGAACGAGGAAUUCCUAGUAAGCGCAAGUCAACAGCUUGGGUUGAUUACGUCCCUGCCCUUUGUACACACCGCCCGUCGCUACUACUGAUUGGAUGUUUAAGCGAGGUUCUCGAACUGCUAGCGACUUAGCUUCGGUGAGGUCGCAGUGUGGGAAGUGAACCUAGCUUUGGUGUCUAGAGGAAGUAAAAGUCGUAACA